CCCGUAGACGUUUUUCCACUCUCGACGGCCGCCGCUACGGCUGCUACAUUCGCGGCGGCCGCUGUCUUCCGUGGAUCCUCCCAUGUCGUGGUUCUCGUCAAAUGACUGCAAUUGAAAAUCAUCUUCCUCGUCCAGUCUGAGGAGGACUACGACGCAGAAACUGAAUACGCCGGGUACGUUAGUUUAUCUCGACAUAGUGGCAGGGGCGCCCAAAAUAGUUCCAUUCAAAAGACGAAACGUAGGAAGGAGAAGGCUGGCCAGGGAGGCUAGGUAUAAGAGAGAAGUAGGGGGCGUAAGGAAGACCAGGAAGCUGAUAUAGGCAGAGAAAAUUCACGAGAGAAGGAAGAGUGGAUAAAAAAAAUGGCGAAGAUAGGACACAUAUAGUUGGUGGCUACUGGUCGUGCAGACUCUUGAGUGGAACGGACUUAUCCGGAUGGGCAAUAAGUAUAGAAAGAGAUUGUUUUGCAGGCCACGUGUGACGUCAGGGCUUUCGAUAUACAUAUGUCGGAACCGUGGCACGUGGUGAUGUCACGGCGGCUUCCUGGCGUCGAGGGCGGCCUUAUUGGCGAGCGCCACGUGAGAGAUCGCCGCCCGGCUAAAUCCCCCCAGAUCCCUCGUUCGCGGAUUGUUAAGAACGGCUUUACGAGGAUAAAGCCGUACGGCUGACGGUUUUAGCCGUAGCAAACAGCCACGCAUCCACCACGACAAAAAUAGCGGCUAAUGGCUCCGAUUGCCGAUCGUGGUUUCCCUUCUCUCUCUUUCUUUCCUUUCCCCCCGUCGCAGUUUCUUCGCUGGGCAAGAAGUAGAGGAGCCUCUCGUGCCCCCCUUUUUUAAACCUCUUUUUAUCCCUUUUUAUCUCUGCCUCCUCUUCGCACUAUUUUUAUUACCUCCUUUUUUUAACCUUUCUCACUUUUUUUUUCUUCUUUUUCUCAUCGUCAAGAGAGAGAGAGAAAACGAAAUAUAUAUCUGCUGGGGAAAUCCCGACGACUUGUUUACGUCCCCCCGACGGCGUCGUAGCGCUACGGAAACGUCGACGGGCUGACCUUUUGUUUCCAGCAACUUCCGCCGGAAGUGAACUCGUUGAUACUCCAGGCGAAGGGGAUACCAAAAUAAUAAACCACAGCCGAUUGAUUCUUUGCUUCUCUCUUCUUCCACGAUACAUAUUGCUUGAUACGGAUACGGUGAUCCCGCAGAGGAUCAUCAUCCUGAUGGAGGAAAACGUCUUGUCCAGGAACGAUCGACGAAGAAAGAUGCUCCAGGUGAAAAUAGCAGCGAGCAAACGAGUGUAUGGACGCGACAGCAGGAGCUAGAGGAGAAAAGCCCAAGACGUACGGGGCAGGCGAGAAGGGAGGGAGGCACUGAGUCUCUCAGCGACACCGGCCAUUCCGCGAAGUGUACUAUAUGACUGCCCGGUUAAUAAAUCCUCGCGCAGCAAAACAGAGAGCAGCUCUAUACAAUGCAUCCUGGCAGUCAUUCACGUGGGAAUAUCCGCAGAGCGUAGAUCGCCAGAAGUCACAAGGGAUGUUUUGGUAGAGAAGCUCUAGAAAGUAUCAGACGUCUGGCACACGGGUAACAGAGAGGUAUAAAAAAACUGGUAUAAAAGGAAGUUGCAAGAAAAAAAAACAAUAAGGAGGAGUAGGACAUACGAUGCAUCGGUCCGCCACGAUCGGGGAGUUUGAGGUUUCGAAGCGUCGCGAGGCGUCUCUGUGAGAGCUGGCAGCCUUCCAAGGAGUGAAGCUGACUCGGUUGGAGAAGGUGGCGAAGAAGCAGAAGAAGCAGAGGGCAGUGAGGAUACACCGAGGACCUCAGGAAGCGUUUGCACGAGAAUACACAGUACACAGACGGGAGACGCGCCUUGAACUUUUCGAUAGGAUCGUCUAUACGGUAGACAAGAUUUAUCCUCGGAUCUGGCAUUCGGCGUGGCAGCGUGCGAUACAGGCUGAUACUACCUUGGUUACAGGUGUGCCCGGGGUCUUUAGCCUCGGCAUGGCGAAAUAACAGUGACAAGUGCCGCGGCCGGUCAAGAUCAAAGCGCUAUGGAUUCAAACGUGUCCCUCUCUUUCCGCCAUACCUCUACGUCCACGCUGUAGAAACUCUACGUAUACUUAAGAACGCACGAUUCUACCUUGAGGUUAUAAUACCGGCUGCCGAUGCUUAUUUGAAUUCGUGGAACUGCUGGGUUAUUUACAGGUAUACCAGCAUUACUACUGUAUCCACUGAUUCUUCCAGCGUCUCGUGCCACGUCGCAAAUAUACGCACGUUUCGACACGUGUGGACGCACACGUAGCGACUCUCACGCAAUGUCUCUUUCGAAGCCAGUAGCGUAGUGUAUGUACACGCGACCCUGGACAUAACGGCCGACUGUUUGUCCCCUGUCCAGAAGACUUUCACCCACCUGGAGACUGGCGUUACCUUCGAAAAAUACGCGUUCUAAAGGAAUUCGAGAAAAACGAAGCUUCGCCAAGUGUAUCGACAAGAGGUAAUAGGUAAUGGCGUCCUUUAAGAUUUUAUUGAUUAGCGAUCCCCCUGUCAUUUAUUUUCAUGCGAACGACUGUUUUCGCGUGUCGGGAUAGUCGGGCUCUGAUCCUUUACUUUAACCUCGUACAGCGAGAGCCAGUUAAAUUUUCAUGAAAAUUCUUCUAUUCGUCUUUCAGGUUGCUCGUAGUUUCGUCCGAUGCUAAAUUAACUUCGAUCAAACCCCCUUUUGGCGGUGGCAGAUCAAAGAAGGCAAAAUCUAAAGAUGUAAUUGGACGGAUGGACAGCCGGUUUCGCGGUAUCCGUUACUCCU
Molecule: long non-coding RNA, 2788 nt
Organism: Cephus cinctus (wheat stem sawfly)
Lineage: Eukaryota; Metazoa; Arthropoda; Insecta; Hymenoptera; Cephidae
Exons: 6
Source: RefSeq, a predicted model, not a curated record